UGGGGAAUCUUGCGCAAUGCGCGAAAGCGUGACGCAGCAACGCCGCGUGGGCGAAGACGGCCUUCGGGUUGUAAAGCCCUUUCAGUUGGGACGAAGCUUUGCCGGUGAAUAGCCGGUUGGAGUGACGGUACCUUCAGAAGAAGCCCCGGCUAACUACGUGCCAGCAGCCGCGGUAAUACGUAGGGGGCAAGCGUUGUCCGGAAUCAUUGGGCGUAAAGCGCGUGUAGGCGGUUUGGUAAGUCUGCUGUGAAAGUCCAGGGCUCAACCCUGGAAUGCCGGUGGAUACUGUCGAACUAGAGUCCGGAAGAGGCGAGUGGAAUUCCUGGUGUAGCGGUGAAAUGCGCAGAUAUCAGGAGGAACACCAAUGGCGAAGGCAGCUCGCUGGGACGGUACUGACGCUGAGACGCGAAAGCGUGGGGAGCAAACAGGAUUAGAUACCCCGGUAGUCC
Molecule: ribosomal RNA, 449 nt
Filed under: uncultured bacterium
Lineage: Bacteria
Description: bacterial SSU rRNA
Rfam family: Bacterial small subunit ribosomal RNA
Source: RNAcentral